UUGCUGCUAUGUCAAACCGCCCCAGGCUCAUGUUCAUGGCCUGCGGGAACAACAUGGCGGCGCACAGCAAAUCAAGGGAUGAAAAGGCGAAGCUUCUGGAGCAACAGGAGUUUUUUUCGUGCGAUGUUCCUUGAACACUUGUUUUCCUCCUGCUUUUCCACGGCGACAUCAGCAUGGAUCAGUGGCUGCUGUUGUUCUUGGAGCAGGUAGAAAAAACCCAAACAUGCUGGACAGCCUGGUAUUGUUUGUAAAGGGGAGAUACUCUUGUCAGACACUGUCGGCUGUCACAACA
RNAcentral lists this small nucleolar RNA (292 nucleotides) under Gouania willdenowi (blunt-snouted clingfish). Lineage: Eukaryota; Metazoa; Chordata; Actinopteri; Blenniiformes; Gobiesocidae. The record is from RNAcentral.